This 71-nucleotide transfer RNA is filed under the name Capra hircus (goat). It matches the Rfam family "tRNA". From Rfam's summary of the family: Transfer RNA (tRNA) molecules are approximately 80 nucleotides in length. Their secondary structure includes four short double-helical elements and three loops (D, anti-codon, and T loops). The record is from Rfam by way of RNAcentral. RNAcentral also lists the same sequence under 1 other name. Lineage: Eukaryota; Metazoa; Chordata; Mammalia; Artiodactyla; Bovidae.
UCCCCAAUGGUCAGUGGUUAGGAUUCAGUGCUUUCAUUGCCAUGGCCCAGGUUCAAUCCCUGGUUGGGGAA